GUGCCAGCAGCCGCGGUAAGACAGAGGCCCCAAGCGUUAGGCGGAAUCACUGGGCUUAAAGCGUGUGUAGGCGGACUUCUAAGUGCCUUGUGAAAUCCCACGGCUCAACCGUGGAACUGCUGGGCAUACUGGGAGUCUUGGGCCAUUCAGGGGCAACUGGAACAAGCGGUGGAGCGGUGAAAUGCGUAGAUAUCGCUUGGAACGCCGAAGGUGAAAACAGGUUGCUGGGGAUGUGCCGACGCUGAGACACGAAAGCCAGGGGAGCAAACGGGAUUAGAUACCCCCGUAGUCC
RNAcentral lists this ribosomal RNA (292 nucleotides) under uncultured bacterium. Its description in RNAcentral is "partial 16S ribosomal RNA". It matches the Rfam family "Bacterial small subunit ribosomal RNA", at positions 505 to 796 of the family's 1533-position model. The record is from RNAcentral.